AAGCCAGUGGUGAACUCCACAUCCGCAUCCUUUGCUGAGGAUACGGUUAACGGAGCGAAAGCGACGUUCAACCGCAAAACAAGCAGAGGGGGCUUAGUGGUGGGGUGACUGCGUACCUUUUGUAUAAUGGGUCAGCGACUUAUAUUCUGUAGCAAGGUUAACCGAAUAGGGGAGCCGGAGGGAAACCGAGUCUUAAUUGGGCGUUAAGUUGCAGGGUAUAGACCCGAAACCCGGUGAUCUAGCCAUGGGCAGGUUGAAGGUUGGGUAACACUAACUGGAGGACCGAACCGACUAAUGUUGAAAAAUUAGCGGAUGACCUGUGGCUGGGGGUGAAAGGCCAAUCAAACCGGGAGAUAGCUGGUUCUCCCCGAAAGCUAUUUAGGUAGCGCCUCGUGAAUUCAUCUCCGGGGGUAGAGCACUGUUUCGGCUAGGGGGCCAUCCCGGCUUACCAACCCGAUGCAAACUGCGAAUACCGGAGAAUGUUAUCACGGGAGACACACGGCGGGUGCUAACGUCCGUCGUGAAGAGGGAAACAACCCAGACCGCCAGCUAAGGUCCCAAAGUCAUGGUUAAGUGGGAAACGAUGUGGGAAGGCCCAGACAGCCAGGAUGUUGGCUUAGAAGCAGCCAUCAUUUAAAGAAAGCGUAAUAGCUCACUGGUCGAGUCGGCCUGCGCGGAAGAUGUAACGGGGCUAAACCAUGCACCGAAG
RNAcentral lists this ribosomal RNA (709 nucleotides) under Salmonella enterica subsp. enterica. Its description in RNAcentral is "partial 23S ribosomal RNA". It matches the Rfam family "Bacterial large subunit ribosomal RNA", at positions 1 to 1199 of the family's 2925-position model. Lineage: Bacteria; Pseudomonadati; Pseudomonadota; Gammaproteobacteria; Enterobacterales; Enterobacteriaceae. The record is from RNAcentral.